CUGGAGAUGAUUCAAUAAAAACCAUCUGAGUUCCUGUGAAGGUGUUUGUAUUCAUACUGUCUGAUCCAG
Molecule: small nucleolar RNA, 69 nt
Filed under: Kryptolebias marmoratus (mangrove rivulus)
Lineage: Eukaryota; Metazoa; Chordata; Actinopteri; Cyprinodontiformes; Rivulidae
Source: RNAcentral